Molecule: ribosomal RNA, 677 nt
Filed under: Streptococcus pluranimalium
Lineage: Bacteria; Bacillati; Bacillota; Bacilli; Lactobacillales; Streptococcaceae
Description: bacterial SSU rRNA
Rfam family: Bacterial small subunit ribosomal RNA
Source: RNAcentral
CGAACGGGUGAGUAACGCGUAGGUAACCUACCUUAUAGCGGGGGAUAACUAUUGGAAACGAUAGCUAAUACCGCAUAAGAGUUGACAACACAUGUUGUUAAUUUAAAAGGAGCAAUUGCUUCACUAUGAGAUGGACCUGCGUUGUAUUAGCUAGUUGGUAAGGUAACGGCUUACCAAGGCCUCGAUACAUAGCCGACCUGAGAGGGUGAUCGGCCACACUGGGACUGAGACACGGCCCAGACUCCUACGGGAGGCAGCAGUAGGGAAUCUUCGGCAAUGGGGGGAACCCUGACCGAGCAACGCCGCGUGAGUGAAGAAGGUUUUCGGAUCGUAAAGCUCUGUUAUAAGCGAAGAACGGGAGUAAGAGUGGAAAAUUUACUCUGUGACGGUAGCUUAUCAGAAAGGGACGGCUAACUACGUGCCAGCAGCCGCGGUAAUACGUAGGUCCCGAGCGUUGUCCGGAUUUAUUGGGCGUAAAGCGAGCGCAGGUGGUUUAAUAAGUCUGAAGUUAAAGGCAUUGGCUCAACCAAUGUACGCUUUGGAAACUGUUAAACUUGAGUGCAGAAGGGGAGAGUGGAAUUCCAUGUGUAGCGGUGAAAUGCGUAGAUAUAUGGAGGAACACCGGUGGCGAAAGCGGCUCUCUGGUCUGUAACUGACACUGAGGCUCGAAAGCGUGG